CCUACGGGAGGCAGCAGUAAGGAAUAUUGGACAAUGGUCGCAAGACUGAUCCAGCCAUGCCGCGUGCAGGAUGACAGCCCUAUGGGUCGUAAACUGCUUUUGUGCGAGAAAAAACCCCUCUACGUGUAGAGGGCUGAUUGUAUCGUAAGAAUAAGGAUCGGCUAACUCCGUGCCAGCAGCCGCGGUAAUACGGAGGAUCCAAGCGUCAUCCGGAUUCAUUGGGUUUAAAGGGUGCGUAGGCGGAAUGAUAAGUCAGUGGUGAAAUCCUGCAGCUUAACUGCAGAACUGCCAUUGAUACUGUCAAUCUUGAGUACAUUUGAUGUGGGCGGAAUGUGUCAUGUAGCGGUGAAAUGCUUAGAUAUGACACAGAACACCGAUUGCGAAGGCAGCUCACAAAACUGUAACUGACGCUGAGGCACGAAAGCGUGGGUAUCAAACAGGAUUAGAUACCCUGGUAGUCCACGCUGUAAACUAUNAUACUCGAUGUUGUGAUACACUAGUAAGCGUCGUAGACGAAGACGAGUAAGUAAGUACCACCGUACGGGUAGGUACGACGUCGCGAGAGUUAGAACGACAAAGUUAGAGUUAGGACGGCGUGAGAGUACGACGACGGACGGACCAACCGAACCGGGAAGGUAGG
This 640-nucleotide ribosomal RNA is filed under the name uncultured bacterium. Its description in RNAcentral is "bacterial SSU rRNA". The stretch from base 1 to 538 matches the Rfam family "Bacterial small subunit ribosomal RNA", at positions 338 to 873 of the family's 1533-position model. The record is from RNAcentral.